This 253-nucleotide ribosomal RNA is filed under the name uncultured bacterium. Its description in RNAcentral is "partial 16S ribosomal RNA". It matches the Rfam family "Bacterial small subunit ribosomal RNA", at positions 524 to 776 of the family's 1533-position model. The record is from RNAcentral.
UACGUAGGGGGCGAGCGUUGUCCGGAUUUAUUGGGCGUAAAGAGCGUGUAGGCGGCCAGGUAGGUCCGUUGUGAAAACUCGAGGCUCAACCUCGAGAUGUCGAUGGAAACCAUCUGGCUAGAGUCCGGAAGAGGAGAGUGGAAUUCCUGGUGUAGCGGUGAAAUGCGCAGAUAUCAGGAAGAACACCUAUGGCGAAGGCAGCUCUCUGGGACGGUACUGACGCUGAGGUACGAAAGCGUGGGGAGCAAACAGG